CCCUUAGAUGUUCUGGGCGGCCCGCACACUACAAUGGCGCUUUCAGCGAGUUCCUAUGUUGAAUUUUCCUGGGUAUUCUUGGAAGCGGCGUCUUGACUUGGGAUAGAUCCUUGUAAUUGUUGGUUUUGAACGAGGAAUUCCUUGUAAUCGCGGUUGAUCAGCUCGCGUUGAAUACGUCCCUGCCCUUUGUACACACCGCCCGUCGCUCCUACCGAUGAAUCGUCCGGUGAAGUUCACAGAGUGGCGGUUCGUGGAGUUGCUCGCGAAGUGAAAUGGACCUCACGAUUUAGAGGAAGGAGAAGUCGUAACA
RNAcentral lists this ribosomal RNA (310 nucleotides) under uncultured eukaryote. RNAcentral describes it as "partial 18S ribosomal RNA". It matches the Rfam family "Eukaryotic small subunit ribosomal RNA", at positions 1470 to 1796 of the family's 1831-position model. The record is from RNAcentral.